This 468-nucleotide ribosomal RNA is filed under the name uncultured bacterium. RNAcentral's name for it is "partial 16S ribosomal RNA". It matches the Rfam family "Bacterial small subunit ribosomal RNA", at positions 28 to 507 of the family's 1533-position model. The record is from RNAcentral.
GACGAACGCUGGCGGCGUGCUUAACACAUGCAAGUCGAACGGAAAGGCCCUGCUUUUGUGGGGCGCUCGAGUGGCGAACGGGUGAGUAACACGUGAGUAACCUGCCCUUGACUUUGGGAUAAAUUCAGGAAACUGGGGCUCAUACCGGAUAGGAGAUCCUGCUGCAUGGUGGGGGUUGGAAAGAUUCGGCGGUUGGGGAUGGACUCGCGGCUUAUCAGCUUGAUGGUGGGGUAGUGGUUUACAAAGGCUUUGACGGGUAGCCGGCCUGAGAGGGUGACCGGCCACAUUGGUACUGAGGUACGGCCCAGACUCCUACGUGAGGCAGCAGUGGAGAAUAUUGCACAAUGGGCGGAAGCCAGAUGCAGCAACGCCGCGUGCGGGAUGACGUCCUUCUGGUUAUAAACCGCUUUCGCCUGUGACGAAGCGUGAGUGACGGUAAUGGGUAAAGAAGCACCGGCUAACUACGUG